CAGUAGCCACGGUAACACGGAGGGGGCUAGCGUUGUUCGGAAUUACUGGGCGUAAAGCGCACGUAGGCGGCUUGGUAAGUUAGAGGUGAAAGCCCAGGGCUCAACCCUGGAAUUGCCUUUAAGACUGCCGAGCUAGUAGGUGAGAGAAGUGAGUGGAAUUCCGAGUGUAGAGGUGAAAUUCGUAGAUAUUCGGAAGAACACCAGUGGCGAAGGCGGCUCACUGGCUCAUUCUAGACGCUGAGGUGCGAAAGCGUGGGGAGCAAACAGGAUUAGAGACCCGCGUAGUCCCUGUCUCUUAUAC
This 301-nucleotide ribosomal RNA is filed under the name uncultured bacterium. Its description in RNAcentral is "partial 16S ribosomal RNA". It matches the Rfam family "Bacterial small subunit ribosomal RNA", at positions 509 to 807 of the family's 1533-position model. The record is from RNAcentral.